GACAGAGGAGCCAAGCGUUGUCCGGAUUGACUGGGCGUAAAGCGCACGCAGGCGGUCGCGCGCGUGGGGUGUGAAAUCUGGCCGCUUAACGGCCAGGCGCCAUCCCAUACGGCGCGACUGGAGUGAUGCAGAGGUCGGUGGAAUUGCCGGUGUAGUGGUGAAAUGCUUAGAUAUGACAUAGAACACCAAUUGCGAAGGCAGCUCACUACACGAAUAUUGACACUGAGGCACGAAAGCGUGGGGAUCAAACAGG
Molecule: ribosomal RNA, 253 nt
Filed under: uncultured bacterium
Lineage: Bacteria
Description: partial 16S ribosomal RNA
Rfam family: Bacterial small subunit ribosomal RNA
Source: RNAcentral